This 421-nucleotide ribosomal RNA is filed under the name Verrucomicrobiota bacterium. RNAcentral's name for it is "Verrucomicrobia bacterium partial 16S ribosomal RNA". It matches the Rfam family "Bacterial small subunit ribosomal RNA", at positions 355 to 776 of the family's 1533-position model. Lineage: Bacteria; Pseudomonadati; Verrucomicrobiota. The record is from RNAcentral.
UGGGGAAUUUUGCACAAUGGGCGCAAGCCUGAUGCAGCGACGCCGCGUGAGGGAUGAAGGCCUUCGGGUUGUAAACCUUUUUCGCUCAUGGUCAAGCCGCAGCUUUGGGUUGUGGUGAGGGUAGUGGGUAAAGAAGCCCCGGCUAACUACGUGCCAGCAGCCGCGGUAAUACGUAGGGGGCUAGCGUUGUCCGGAAUCACUGGGCGUAAAGGGUUCGCAGGCGGAAAUGCAAGUCAGGUGUAAAAGGCAGUAGCUUAACUACUGUAAGCAUUUGAAACUGGAUAUCUUGAGAAGAGUAGAGGUAAGUGGAAUUUUUAGUGUAGCGGUGAAAUGCGUAGAUAUUAAAAAGAAUACCGGUGGCGAAGGCGACUUACUGGGCUCAUUCUGACGCUGAGGAACGAAAGCGUGGGUAGCAAACAGG